GAUGAAGAACGCAGCGAAAUGCGAUAAGUAAUGCGAAUUGCAGAAUUUCCGUGAGUCAUCGAAUCUUUGAACGCACAUUGCGCCCACUGGUAUUCCGGUGGGCAUGCCUGUUCGAGCGUCAUUAUCCUCCCUCAAAACUCCUGUUUUGGUGUUGUGCCGCGUUGGUCACCUCCGACCAACGGGCCUCAAAGACAAUGACGGCGUCCGUGGGACCCUCUUCGCAGUGAGCUUUUGUUAGCGCGCGUUGAGUUUAAAGGACCCUCCGGGUCGGCCACCUUUAUCUAUUUUACAAGGUUGACCUCGGAUCAGGUAGGAAUACCCGCUGAACUUAAGCAUAUCAAUAAGCGGAGGA
Molecule: unclassified non-coding RNA, 352 nt
Filed under: soil metagenome
Description: partial contains 5.8S ribosomal RNA, internal transcribed spacer 2, and large subunit ribosomal RNA
Rfam family: 5.8S ribosomal RNA (bases 1-121)
Source: RNAcentral